AACGAACGCUGGCGGCAUGCCUAACACAUGCAAGUCGAACGAGACCUUCGGGUCUAGUGGCGCACGGGUGCGUAACGCGUGGGAACCUGCCCUUAGGUUCGGAAUAACUCCCCGAAAGGGGUGCUAAUACCGGAUAAUGUCUUCGGACCAAAGAUUUAUCGCCUUUGGAUGGGCCCGCGUUGGAUUAGCUAGUUGGUAGGGUAAAAGCCUACCAAGGCGACGAUCCAUAGCUGGUCUGAGAGGAUGAUCAGCCACACUGGGACUGAGACACGGCCCAGACUCCUACGGGAGGCAGCAGUGGGGAAUAUUGGAAAACGGGCGAAAGCCUGAUCCAGCAAUGCCGCGUGAGUGAUGAAGGCCUUAGGGUUGUAAAGCUCUUUUACCCGGGAUGAUAAUGACAGUACCGGGAGAAUAAGCUCCGGCUAACUCCGUG
Molecule: ribosomal RNA, 433 nt
Filed under: uncultured bacterium
Lineage: Bacteria
Description: partial 16S ribosomal RNA
Rfam family: Bacterial small subunit ribosomal RNA
Source: RNAcentral